AAGACCUUCUACUGGUUACUUGUCCUUCCCGUACUACUUUGCGUCCUUCUUUACCCUGUCUUUUCCCUAGGAAGCUGAUUGCUAUGAACCACAUGAAGAUGCUGCCGUGUCUUCUGAUUCUGAGAAGAUAUAUUUUUGUCUUAUUCCCUUCCCACCAGGAUAUGGCUUUGCCAAUAUCUGUGCACCUGUUUCUGGAAAAAGUUUCUGUCAGAAGCUGCAGGAAUCUGCUCCCAAAUUCCAAGCUGUAGCAGCCAAAUCAACCAAGCACCAGGAGACUUUUCCAAAGUUCUAAGGCCUUGGAGAUUAUGCAUUAGAAGGUGAACAAGUACUACCAGAAGAGACUGUUCCUCAUUCUUUGGAUAAUAUGCUGUGAAGAACUUGAGAAACCAUUUUAUGGCUGCAUAAAUGUGAUCUGGGAGAUCAAGGAAACACAAAACACCUGGAUCCUUGAUGCCCUCCUGGGCCUCUAAGUUGCCGAUUCCAGGGCCUCUACAAAAGCAGUGGGAUCGACGGGGGUAUAACGUCUUCUACUGUCUGCGCUCAGUUUCAGCAAUGGCUGCUUAAUAUAACAAAUAAAUAAAUAAAUACAUAAAUAAAAGCUA
This is a long non-coding RNA of Fukomys damarensis (Damara mole-rat), 602 nucleotides long. RefSeq lists it as uncharacterized. The record is from RefSeq and is a predicted model, not a curated record. The transcript has 4 exons. NCBI's taxonomy places the organism in Eukaryota, Metazoa, Chordata, Mammalia, Rodentia, Bathyergidae.